This 474-nucleotide ribosomal RNA is filed under the name Salmonella enterica subsp. enterica serovar Virchow. Its description in RNAcentral is "bacterial SSU rRNA". It matches the Rfam family "Bacterial small subunit ribosomal RNA", at positions 46 to 509 of the family's 1533-position model. The record is from RNAcentral. Lineage: Bacteria; Pseudomonadati; Pseudomonadota; Gammaproteobacteria; Enterobacterales; Enterobacteriaceae.
GCCUAACACAUGCAAGUCGAACGGUAACAGGAAGCAGCUUGCUGCUUCGCUGACGAGUGGCGGACGGGUGAGUAAUGUCUGGGAAACUGCCUGAUGGAGGGGGAUAACUACUGGAAACGGUGGCUAAUACCGCAUAACGUCGCAAGACCAAAGAGGGGGACCUUCGGGCCUCUUGCCAUCAGAUGUGCCCAGAUGGGAUUAGCUWGUUGGUGAGGUAACGGCUCACCAAGGCGACGAUCCCUAGCUGGUCUGAGAGGAUGACCAGCCACACUGGAACUGAGACACGGUCCAGACUCCUACGGGAGGCAGCAGUGGGGAAUAUUGCACAAUGGGCGCAAGCCUGAUGCAGCCAUGCCGCGUGUAUGAAGAAGGCCUUCGGGUUGUAAAGUACUUUCAGCGGGGAGGAAGGUGUUGUGGUUAAUAACCRCAGCAAUUGACGUUACCCGCAGAAGAAGCACCGGCUAACUCCGUGCC